Molecule: ribosomal RNA, 254 nt
Filed under: uncultured bacterium
Lineage: Bacteria
Description: partial 16S ribosomal RNA
Rfam family: Bacterial small subunit ribosomal RNA
Source: RNAcentral
UACAGAGACUGCAAGCGUUAUUCGGAUUCACUGGGCGUAAAGGGCGCGUAGGCGGCGCGGUAAGUCACUUGUGAAAUCUCUGAGCUUAACUCAGAACGGCCAAGUGAUACUGCAGUGCUAGAGUGCAGAAAGGGCAAUCGGAAUUCUUGGUGUAGCGGUGAAAUGCGUAGAUAUCAAGAGGAACACCUGAGGCGAAGGCGGGUUGCUAGGCUGACACUGACGCUGAGUGCGCGAAAGCCAGGGGAGCAAACGGG